Molecule: long non-coding RNA, 3257 nt
Organism: Serinus canaria (Common canary)
Lineage: Eukaryota; Metazoa; Chordata; Aves; Passeriformes; Fringillidae
Exons: 6
Source: RefSeq, a predicted model, not a curated record
UCACAGUUGUAUUUGAUUUAAUACUAGGCUGAGAACAACACUGUGGAGGUGAUGCAUUGGGAAUAUGGACAUUAAUAGGGAUGGUUCUACUUACCUUGACAAACUUUGCUCUCAUGAGAUGAACUUAUGGUUUCACACACAUUGGGAAAAAGGUGUGAGGUAGUAUUUUCAUUUAAAAAGAAAAAAACCCAACAAAAAACAUAGCCUUCCACAUUUAAACAUGAACUAUUUUGCCAGUUAGGACUUGACUGGUAGGCUAACUAUUUUAUUUUAAAAACCUUUAUUUUUAUGUGAAAGGAAUAUUGAGGCUCAGAAGUAAAAAUUUUUUUAGGCUAUUGACACUUGCUGUAGUUUUGUAUGUUGCAGCUCCUUUCCCUGCCCUUCUUAAGUCUAUGUGGUAUGGUUUCUUGCAUAUUAAAGCUGAGUACAAUGAUUAAGGUAUCUUUUUUCCUGAUCAGAGUUUUUAUUUUCUUAGUGUAUGACAAACACUUCUAGACAGAAAAGUCCAAGAUAAAAAAUUGAAUCUCUGUGUCAGAGAGGGAGAAAGCACUGCGAAAGUGAAAUAUCUUGGUCAAUUUUUUCUCGGAGUAAGACAGUGACUUAGCAGGUGUCCUAUUUCCUAUUUUUUCUUCUUUCUAAUCAAGACUGCUCUUUUCUUCAUAAGUGUGUAUUUGUUGGGUUUUAAAUGGAAUUUGCCUUACUAGCUGAGUAGUUGGAAAGUCGAUUCUCCAUGAAGAUAUAGAAUCCAACUCCAGAUUUAACUCUGAAGUGGGACUUGAACUAAAUGUCUUUUGCUGUAGGUUAAUGCUGUAUAACUUUAGUCUCAUGGUUCUUUUUAAACGAACUUCUUCUAAGUUGAAAAGGGAAAUUCCAAAAACUUUGCUAUUUGAGUGAAAUAUGCCUUUUAUUUUUAUUUCAAUCCAUGUUGGAAAUCAAUGACUGUAGGCCUAAAGCAGCUGCAACUGAUACCACCUUUUACUGAGAGCAGUCAGAAUAGUUACAAUGAGAUCAAGUUACAGACAGGGUUAUAAAAAUGUUGGCCUAUAACCCCAAGGGAAAGAAGUGUUGGAUUUUUGUAUUUUGACUUCUUUACUGUGUGCUAGGAUUGACAAUAUUAUACGGAGUCACCUUGAAUGAUUAGUCUGCUAUCCCUUUAAAGUAAUCAGUCUAGAAAAGCUGAAUGCAGCUUGACAGAUUAGCAUUAAUGAUUUCCUUCUGUGUGGCUGAGGAAUCUGAAUUACCAUUAUGGCUCUUGCCCUAUUUAAACUCAGAUAUGUAGAGCUAUACUAACAGGGUGCCAUGUGGACUUUUAUCUGUUGGUGACAACGUCUCUCUUUUGAUAUACAAAGGUAUCACAGACCUCAGAACAGAUACAGGGGAAAAAAAGCCCUUCAGGAUGAAAGUAAAAGCUAAAAAAAAUAUUUGAAAGCUGCUCACACUUUGGACCUGAGCUCUGCAAGAUGGCCUUAGAACCCUGAUCAAAGGUACUGAUUACAGUGCUAAAAUUUUAAAAAUUUUACUAGGGGGAUGAAUAUUUUUGGACAGCUAUAAAAGAAAGUAAUGACCAUGUACCAUAUUUUUGCACUUCAUAUGGAACAGUCUUUGUUUAAUAUAUUGAGAUGUUUUAUUUUUAUUGACAUGUUUAUUUUUAGAUGAGAGUUGAUCACAAUAUUCUCGUAAUCUGAAAAUCAUUAAAAACUCACAGAAGCAUAAUGAGCUGAAAAACCAUUCACUUAUACUGUGGAUUUAUUUAAGUCUUGGCUCUAAACACUUCUAGACACACAGGUGCAAAAAGAGGAGGAAAAAUCUUGGAGAUACUUGAAAAAAGGGAGGUGGGGAAAAAGAGAAAACACAACCCCAAAUAAAUUGAAAAUUAUAAAUACCAUGUAUUUACCUGGGUGAUCAAGAAACAAAUUACAGUUCAUAUAUGCUCUUUCAGCCAUACCAACACCCACUUUGCAUGGUAAUUAAGAGACCUGAUUCAAUAUUCAGUGAGUUUAGAGAGAAAUUCUCAUACCUAUGUAAUGGAAAGUGCAUCUAGACUCUAAAUACCUCUUUUGCACUUAUAUUUGCAAAACCAGAUUUUAUGGCUCACUUUCAGAGUGUGUUGUGAGUGUUCACUCGGGAAUUUGUGGAAAGCAAACUUCUAAGAGAUGCAAUUUCUAUAGUUCAAAGAAAUUGAAGCCCUUAUAACAUCAUGUGGUUGGAAAGUUAGACCAGGAUCUUUCUGGUGUGUUUAAAUGUUUACAAACUUCUAAGUCAAUCAUAUUUUUAUGAAGUUAUAUCACAGUUUGUCUUGAAAGGGUCUAACAACUAUUCUAGCAUUUAUAUAAAACUACCUUUUCUACAGUGCUGCAUUCUUUAGGUGAGAAAUGGAAGUAUGGCACAGCUAUUGUAUUAAAUCAAUCCUUUGAACAUUCGUCCUCUUUUCAAGUAGCACUGAUUAUUUGAGAGGGGAAAAUAAGUAGUAUAGAGGUGUGGAUGAGAGAAGAAACCUUAGAAAUCAAGACACUAAUUGAAAGGUUUCUCUGCCAAAGUAACAGCUGACUUAAGAACAUCUGUGGAGAUUGCCUGGAUGCUGCUGGCCACCAGCUGAUCUGCUGCCAUUGGCAUCACUGCCACCCCGGGAAAAAAAUAAAUGGCUUGAGAAUGAAAAGCAGAUAGCAAGAUACCACCCUGAAGAAUUCUAGACUGGGGGGAAAAGGCAGUUUAGCAAGCUCUCACAGGGUUGAGAUUGUGAAAUCCCACUGGAAUUUCAAAAUGUGAAGUGUCUUUAAACAAACAGAAGCAUCUCUCCUAAGUCCUGCUCAUGUUCACUUUGUAGCCCUCCUCUGGAUGCAUUUGAGUACCUUCACAUCCUCCUGAAAUGGUGGAGCCCAGAGCUGCACACAGAACUUCAGCUCCGGAGUGUGUGUGAAAGAAAUAAGGAAAAACCCAAACCACAACAAACAAACAAAACUGAAGAAAACAAAAUCAAAAGUCAAAAGUAACACCUUGAAGGCCUCUGGGAGUGGUUGUGCCAUUUCAUCCAUGCUGCAAAUCUCUGGAGGUGAAAUCAAACUACAUCACAUCAAUGUAUGGCCCUUAAUGCCUCAAGUUUAAAAGCAGCAAAUCAAGUGAAGACAGCAACAAAGAAAAGGCAGCAUACAUAACAGUUAAUUUGACUGAGUUCUUCUUGAACAGGGCAAUAUUAGAACAACUUCCUGCUCUGCCACUGAGAUGCAAGGAGUCCUUCUGGUGUCUGGACUGCAAUGAAG